Small nuclear RNA from Trichechus manatus latirostris (Florida manatee), 104 nucleotides. Lineage: Eukaryota; Metazoa; Chordata; Mammalia; Sirenia; Trichechidae. The record is from RefSeq and is a predicted model, not a curated record.
GGGCUUACUUCGGCGGCACAUAUUCUAAAAUUGGGAAGAUACAAAGAAGAUUAGCAUGACCCCUGAGCAAGGAUGGCAUGAAAAAAAAAAAGUAUAAAAUUCAC